Molecule: ribosomal RNA, 292 nt
Filed under: uncultured bacterium
Lineage: Bacteria
Description: partial 16S ribosomal RNA
Rfam family: Bacterial small subunit ribosomal RNA
Source: RNAcentral
GUGUCAGCAGCCGCGGUAAUACGUAGGGUCCGAGCGUUAUCCGGAAUUACUGGGCGUAAAGAGUUCGUAGGCGGAUUUUUAAGUCAGGUGUUAAAUAUGCAGGCUCAACUUGCAUGCUGCAUCUGAUACUGGGAGUCUUGAGGAUGGAAGAGGUAAGCGGAAUUUCCGGUGGAGCGGUAAAAUGCGUAGAUAUCGGAAAGAACACCAAUGGCGAAGGCAGCUUACUGGGCCAUUUCUGACGCUGAGGAACGAAAGCGUGGGGAGCGAUCGGGAUUAGAUACCCCCGUAGUCC